RNAcentral lists this ribosomal RNA (962 nucleotides) under uncultured bacterium. Its description in RNAcentral is "bacterial SSU rRNA". It matches the Rfam family "Bacterial small subunit ribosomal RNA", at positions 56 to 1019 of the family's 1533-position model. The record is from RNAcentral.
UGCAAGUCGAACGAGAAGUUUUAAUUUAUUAAAACGAGAAAGUGGCGCACGGGUGAGUAACACGUAGGCAACCUGCCCUUGAGAGUGGAAUAACCAUGGGAAACUAUGGCUAAUACCGCAUAUUGUUUACGCAACGCAUGUUGUGUAAAUGAAAACUCCGGUGCUCAAGGAUGGGCCUGCGGCAGAUUAGCUAGUUGGUAGGGUAACGGCCUACCAAGGCUGCGAUCUGUAGCUGGUCUGAGAGGAUGAUCAGCCACACUGGCACUGAGACACGGGCCAGACUCCUACGGGAGGCAGCAGUGAGGAAUAUUGCGCAAUGGGCGAAAGCCUGACGCAGCCACGCCGCGUGGAGGAAGACACCCCUAUGGGGCGUAAACUCCUUUUAUGUGAGAAGAAUGCCCUGGUCGCCAGGGAGAGACGGUAUCACAUGAAUAAGCACCGGCUAACUCCGUGCCAGCGGCCGCGGUAAUACGGAGGGUGCAAGCGUUGUCCGGAUUCACUGGGUGUAAAGGGUGUGUAGGCGGAGCAGAUAGUCAGUGGUGACAGCCUGUGGCUUAACCAUAGAAUUGCCAUUGAUACUGCUGCUCUUGAGUACUGGAGAAGCUACUAGAAUUCGUGGUGUAGCGGUGAAAUGCGUAGAUAUCACGAGGAAUACCAGAGGCGUAAGCGGGUAGCUAGACAGAUACUGACGCUGAGGCACGAAAGCGUGGGGAGCAAACAGGAUUAGAUACCCUGGUAGUCCACGCCGUAAACGAUGGAUGCUCGAUGCAGUGGCGUAUGCGACUGUGUCCAAGCUAACGCGUUAAGCAUCCCACCUGGGGAGUACGCUCGCAAGAGUGAAACUCAAAGGAAUUGGCGGGGGCCCGCACAAGCGGUGGAGCACGUGGCUUAAUUCGAUGCAACGCGAAGAGCCUUACCUGGGCUCAAACACUACCGGACAGCCUCCGAAAGAGUCUCCUUCG